This 242-nucleotide ribosomal RNA is filed under the name uncultured Actinomycetales bacterium. RNAcentral describes it as "partial 16S ribosomal RNA". It matches the Rfam family "Bacterial small subunit ribosomal RNA", at positions 88 to 334 of the family's 1533-position model. Lineage: Bacteria; Bacillati; Actinomycetota; Actinomycetes; Actinomycetales. The record is from RNAcentral.
UGCUCGAGUGGCGAACGGGUGAGUAACACGUGGGUGAUCUGCCCUGCACUUCGGGAUAAGCUUGGGAAACUGGGUCUAAUACCGGAUAGGACCAUCGUUUAGUGUCGGUGGUGGAAAGUUUUUUCGGUGUGGGAUGAGCUCGCGGCCUAUCAGCUUGUUGGUGGGGUAAUGGCCUACCAGGCGUCGACGGGUAGCCGGCCUGAGAGGGUGUACGGCCACAUUGGGACUGAGAUACGGCCCAG